CCUGACCUCGAUUCAAGCGUGAAUACCCGCUGAACUUAAGCA
This 42-nucleotide ribosomal RNA is filed under the name Gyrodactyloides bychowskii. RNAcentral describes it as "partial 28S ribosomal RNA". Lineage: Eukaryota; Metazoa; Platyhelminthes; Monogenea; Gyrodactylidea; Gyrodactylidae. The record is from RNAcentral.